GACGAACGCUGGCGGCGUGCUUAACACAUGCAAGUCGAACGGAAAGGCCCUGCUUUUGUGGGGUGCUCGAGUGGCGAACGGGUGAGUAACACGUGAGUAACCUGCCCUUGACUUUGGGAUAACUUCAGGAAACUGGGGCUAAUACCGGAUAGGAGCUCCUGCUGCAUGGUGGGGGUUGGAAAGUUUCGGCGGUUGGGGAUGGACUCGCGGCUUAUCAGCUUGUUGGUGGGGUAGUGGCUUACCAAGGCUUUGACGGGUAGCCGGCCUGAGAGGGUGACCGGCCACAGUGGGACUGAGAUACGGCCCAGACGCCUACGGGAGGCAGAAGUGGGGAACAUUGCGCAAUGGGCGGAAGCCUGAUGCAGCAACGCCGCGUGCGGGAUGACGGCCUUCGGGUUGUAAACCGCUUUCGCCUGUGACGAAGCGUGAGUGACGGUAAUGGGUAAAGAAGCACCGGCUAACUACGUG
Molecule: ribosomal RNA, 468 nt
Filed under: uncultured bacterium
Lineage: Bacteria
Description: partial 16S ribosomal RNA
Rfam family: Bacterial small subunit ribosomal RNA
Source: RNAcentral